CUUGUAAUUGUUGCUUCCAUGGGACCUGGAACAAGCGUCCACAUCGGCCCCACCGGCUGGUGAGCGCCCAUGGGAGGAGUCAUGAAAACUAUUCUUUGAAGUGCAGUUAGUCUGAAAAUGUUAUUAUAAACGUUAAAACUUUCAACAACGGAUCUCUUGGUUCUCGCAUCGAUGAAGAACGCAGCGAAAUGCGAUAAGUAGUGUGAAUUGCAGAAUUCAGUGAAUCAUCGAAUCUUUGAACGCACAUUGCGCCUUCUGGUAUUCCGGGAGGCAUGCCUGUUCGAGCGUCAUCAAAAACCUCAAUCUUUGAUUUUAUUGUCAUAGGUUGGUCUUGCUUUGGAGGUGUUAGCUUCCUUUGCGAAAUCCAAUGGCGAAAAGCCACGCAACCAAAGCGUAGUAAAUUUAUAUCUCGCAAUGGGAACGUGUGCGCUUCUGCCACAAACCCCCCGCCAUAACUCAAGUUUUUGACCUCGGAUCAGGUAGGGAUACCCGCUGAACUUAAGCAUAUCUAACGGGGGGGGAAAUCUUCUUUAAUAUUAUUUUGGAAA
This 548-nucleotide ribosomal RNA is filed under the name fungal sp. Its description in RNAcentral is "eukaryotic LSU rRNA". The stretch from base 137 to 290 matches the Rfam family "5.8S ribosomal RNA". The record is from RNAcentral. Lineage: Eukaryota; Fungi.